UACGUAGGGGGCUAGCGUUGUCCGGAAUCAUUGGGCGUAAAGAGCGUGUAGGCGGUCCGGUAAGUCCGCUGUGAAAGUCGGGGGCUCAACCCUCGAAUGCCGGUGGAUACUGUCGGGCUAGAGUACGGAAGAGGCGAGUGGAAUUCCUGGUGUAGCGGUGAAAUGCGCAGAUAUCAGGAGGAACACCUAUUGCGAAAGCAGCUCUCUGGGACGGUACUGACGCUGAGACGCGAAAGCGUGGGGAGCGAACAGG
This 253-nucleotide ribosomal RNA is filed under the name uncultured bacterium. RNAcentral's name for it is "partial 16S ribosomal RNA". It matches the Rfam family "Bacterial small subunit ribosomal RNA", at positions 524 to 776 of the family's 1533-position model. The record is from RNAcentral.